RNAcentral lists this ribosomal RNA (253 nucleotides) under uncultured bacterium. RNAcentral describes it as "partial 16S ribosomal RNA". It matches the Rfam family "Bacterial small subunit ribosomal RNA", at positions 524 to 776 of the family's 1533-position model. The record is from RNAcentral.
UACGUAGGGGCCGAGCGUUGUCCGGAUUCAUUGGGCGUAAAGAGCUCGUAGGCGGUCGUGUAAGUCGGGUGUGAAAUCUCCAGGCUCAACUUGGAGGGGCCACCCGAUACUGCUCGACUUGAGUCCGGUAGGGGAGUGGGGAAUUCCUGGUGUAGCGGUGAAAUGCGCAGAUAUCAGGAGGAACACCGGUGGCGAAGGCGCCGCGCUGGGCCGGUACUGACGCUGAGGAGCGAAAGCGUGGGUAGCAAACAGG